CUAUAAAUACCUGACCGGCGACGUUUACUCUCUCUCUCUCGCCUCUCCGAAGAGUCCUCUGGUUGACUUGCUGAAGUAGAACGGCCGCUGCAUUAUUUAACUUGAUAUGUUAGAAAUGCUUCUUUACUAUCAAGUUACUGUUCUAGUACUGCCACUUGAGUCUUGCCAUGCUCCUGCCCUAGUUAUUAGUUAAAUAGUUAACAGCAGCUACCUUGGCGCAUGGCGACUUGCAGAACCAUGCACGUGGGGAACUCUGAACAUUUUGAAACCAUGCCGGCGCUGUCUGUACCUGGCCUAUGUGGAUUGAACUGAAGCCGUACACGCCAAUGACUGCGCACAUGGCAGACGCUGCCCAAAUGACUUGAUGGCAAGGAGACUUAACCUCGAAAGGUGCAACAGAACCAAGGAUGUGGCGGCAUCAUCUGAAAAGAUUUGGGAGACUACUCCCUCAUGGCCUGUGGCUGAACCAUACACACACGGCAAGU
Molecule: non-coding RNA, 485 nt
Organism: Salmo salar (Atlantic salmon)
Lineage: Eukaryota; Metazoa; Chordata; Actinopteri; Salmoniformes; Salmonidae
Source: RefSeq, a predicted model, not a curated record